RNAcentral lists this ribosomal RNA (301 nucleotides) under uncultured bacterium. RNAcentral describes it as "partial 16S ribosomal RNA". It matches the Rfam family "Bacterial small subunit ribosomal RNA", at positions 509 to 807 of the family's 1533-position model. The record is from RNAcentral.
CAGUAGCCACGGUAAUACGUAGGUGGCAAGCGUUGUCCGGAAUUAUUGGGCGUAAAGGGCUCGCAGGCGGUCUCUUAAGUCUGAUGUGAAAGCCCCCGGCUCAACCGGGGAGGGUCAUUGGAAACUGGGAAACUUGAGUGCAGGAGAGGAGAGUGGAAUUCCACGUGUAGCGGUGAAAUGCGUAGAGAUGUGGAGGAACACCAGUGGCGAAGGCGACUCUCUGGUCUGUAACUGACGCUGAGGAGCGAAAGCGUGGGGAGCGAACAGGAUUAGAUACCCCCGUAGUCCCUGUCUCUUAUAC